This 404-nucleotide ribosomal RNA is filed under the name uncultured bacterium. Its description in RNAcentral is "bacterial SSU rRNA". It matches the Rfam family "Bacterial small subunit ribosomal RNA", at positions 355 to 776 of the family's 1533-position model. The record is from RNAcentral.
UGGGGAAUCUUGGACAAUGGGCGAAAGCCUGAUCCAGCCAUGCCGCGUGAGUGACGAAGGUCUUCGGAUUGUAAAGCUCUUUUGGCGGGGACGAUAAUGACGGUACCCGCAGAAUAAGCCCCGGCUAACUUCGUGCCAGCAGCCGCGGUAAUACGAAGGGGGCUAGCGUUGUUCGGAAUUACUGGGCGUAAAGCGCACGUAGGCGGACUCUUAAGUCAGGGGUGAAAUCCCGGGGCUCAACCUCGGAACUGCCUUUGAUACUGUGAGUCUUGAGACCGGAAGAGGUGAGUGGAAUUCCUAGUGUAGAGGUGAAAUUCGUAGAUAUUAGGAAGAACACCAGUGGCGAAGGCGGCUCACUGGUCCGGUUCUGACGCUGAGGUGCGAAAGCGUGGGGAGCAAACAGG